UUAGUCCUACGGGAGGCAGCAGUGAGGAAUAUUGGUCAAUGGGCGCGAGCCUGAACCAGCCAAGUCGCGUGAGGGAAGACGGUCCUAUGGAUUGUAAACCUCUUUUGUCGGGGAGCAAAAGACGCCACGUGUGGCGUUCCGAGGGUACCCGAAGAAAAAGCAUCGGCUAACUCCGUGCCAGCAGCCGCGGUAAUACGUAGGUGGCGAGCGUUAUCCGGAAUGAUUGGGCGUAAAGGGUGCGUAGGCGGCCUGCUAAGUCUGGAGUGAAAGGUACCGGCUCAACCGGUACAGGCUCUGGAAACUGG
Molecule: ribosomal RNA, 305 nt
Filed under: uncultured bacterium
Lineage: Bacteria
Description: bacterial SSU rRNA
Rfam family: Bacterial small subunit ribosomal RNA
Source: RNAcentral